This 433-nucleotide ribosomal RNA is filed under the name uncultured bacterium. RNAcentral describes it as "partial 16S ribosomal RNA". It matches the Rfam family "Bacterial small subunit ribosomal RNA", at positions 29 to 507 of the family's 1533-position model. The record is from RNAcentral.
AACGAACGCUGGCGGCAUGCCUAACACAUGCAAGCCGAACGAGACCUUCGGGUCUAGUGGCGCACGGGUGCGUAACGCGUGGGAACCUGCCCUUAGGUUCGGAAUAACUCCCCGAAAGGGGUGCUAAUACCGGAUAAUGUCUUCGGACCAAAGAUUUAUCGCCUUUGGAUGGGCCCGCGUUGGAUUAGCUAGUUGGUAGGGUAAAAGCCUACCAAGGCGACGAUCCAUAGCUGGUCUGAGAGGCUGAUCAGCCACACUGGGACUGAGACACGGCCCAGACUCCUACGGGAGGCAGCAGUGGGGAAUAUUGGACAAUGGGCGAAAGCCUGAUCCAGCAAUGCCGCGUGAGUGAUGAAGGCCUUAGGGUUGUAAAGCUCUUUUACCCGGGAUGAUAAUGACGGUACCGGGAGAAUAAGCUCCGGCUAACUCCGUG